UGGGGAAUUUUGGACAAUGGGCGCAAGCCUGAUCCAGCCAUGCCGCGUGCAGGAUGAAGGCCUUCGGGUUGUAAACUGCUUUUGUACGGAACGAAAAAGCCUUCUCUAAUAAAGGGGGUGAAUGACGGUACCGUAAGAAUAAGCACCGGCUAACUACGUGCCAGCAGCCGCGGUAAUACGUAGGGUGCAAGCGUUAAUCGGAAUUACUGGGCGUAAAGCGUGCGCAGGCGGUUAUGUAAGACAGAGGUGAAAUCCCCGGGCUCAACCUGGGAACUGCCUUUGUGACUGCAUAGCUGGAGUGCGGCAGAGGGGGAUGGAAUUCCGCGUGUAGCAGUGAAAUGCGUAGAUAUGCGGAGGAACACCGAUGGCGAAGGCAAUCCCCUGGGCCUGCACUGACGCUCAUGCACGAAAGCGUGGGGAGCAAACAGG
RNAcentral lists this ribosomal RNA (429 nucleotides) under uncultured bacterium. Its description in RNAcentral is "bacterial SSU rRNA". It matches the Rfam family "Bacterial small subunit ribosomal RNA", at positions 355 to 776 of the family's 1533-position model. The record is from RNAcentral.